ACGGCACGGCGUGAGGGCAGCGUGGGAGGAAGAGGGAGAGAAGAGUACACGCGCGGUUGAAGAGAACAGCAGAGGACUAGCUGGGAAAAUCAAAUUUAAUGUCAAAGUGAUUAAAAGUUGUAGACCUGCAUACUUUUAAAGUAUUGGCGCAACUAUUAUUUUGCAGUUUAGCGUCUCACUAUACCGAAAUUCAUAGUGAAGUGCAGUUACUGUUUUCUUUUACUAGCUUGAAAAAGUCUAAGCGUGGACUCAGGCAUGGACAUUUAAGCACGUAUUGAUAUCAGAGACAGUUAUAAACACAAUCCGCCACUUUCACUGAGGAGGAUCGGGAGAGCUGAGGACUUCGCUGGAGGACCGUGCAUGCUAAUGAACUUGUUGCUGUGAGGAAGGACCCCGCCGCUAAACUUGCUGGACACACGGACGACACCUGUUGCAUCUGGCCUGCUGCUGCUGCUUCAUCUCUACCGUCAACUCUUCAGACCUGCUUUGCAUCUUGGAUUCGUGUCAAACUUGGACAGGAAGUCAGAGGAUUUAAGCCCCGUGUUUCCUGCCACGGUAUGACUCGGUUAUCGUUCAAGCACAGCUGUUUCUACUGAGAAGCGUUGUCAUCCCCCUUGUUGCCAGGAUCAUUUUGAUGAAGAUGAUCAGAGGGAGAUGAUGCCACAUCUGGUCCCGCCUAUGGAAGGUCUUGAAGUUCUCUGACUGAAGAUGGUCCUCUCAGUGGAUUUAAGGUUCAGAUGCUCAGGAACAAACUCCACCAAUGAGCCAACAGGGAAGCUUUAGGUUUAUUAAAUGUUGCUAUGAAGGUUUCGCUGUUUUUCUUUGUGAAUGCAAUGUGCUCCAACUGAAACUUGAACUAGAACUUAGAAGUACAUCCUUCCCUCUGAAAAGAUUUAGCUGCAUUAAUAACCUCAUAACAUUCUAAUUUUUGUUCCAGUCUUGGUUGGAAAUAGAAUCUCUGAAUUGAUUCAGGUAAAAACUGAACUUCACAGCAUGUUGGAGCAAAACAACCAGAUGAAAAGUGUGAUGGUGUUGGAUUGUCAGACUGUAAUGUUGCAGCUCAAAGCAGCUUUUCUAUCUCAGUUCAUGCUGACAUUCAGCUCUGAAUCAACAGCAGAUCCAGUUGAUGGUGAUCCAUGCUGUGGAAGUCUCACAUCUCCUGAUUUAAUGGAGCUGCUUUGCACUUUUUACACUUCAUUCACCAACACUUUAUUUAAUAAAAGUCCCAUCUCGUUUUUAUGAGGAAUGUGAUGCUUUAAUUUCUCUGUGAAUAACUGCAGUCUAAUGGAACAGCUGGAGUUGUAACAUCUGUCCUGAUGUUGAUCAUGAAGUAUUGAUCAGAAUACUUAUGGUUAGCAAUCAACCCUGAAGUUUUGCAUUCAAAUCUUUACUUUUGUUGUGAACUUUGGUAAGAAGCAGAAACUUUAGCGUUGCCAUGGAUACAUGAGUGUAAAAUUCUGUUCAUGUUUCCAUUUUGGGAAAUGCAGUCCAGCAGAUGAGUUUCUUUUUACUGACAGCUACCAUUCAGUCCGAGAUAUUAUGACUAAAUAAAUGUGCAUAAUGUGGAAAUGAACAGAUUUUAUUUUUAUUUAUUCCUACAGCUGCUGCAGGUAAAGUUCCAGAAUGUGGAGGAAUUUAGUCUCACAGUCACAGACUAUAAAUAUUAUCUGAAAGUCGGGUUAUUGUUGUUUAUCAGCACAAUACAAAAACAUUAAUGUCAGACAUAUUCCAGUUAAGACUCUAGAAUAUAAUGAUUUAUGUAAAUUUAUCUCAAUAAUAUGAAUGCUAUGAAUGUUCAGGUUAAGAUUUUGCAGUGAUAUUUAGCUGAUUAAAGUUUAUGACUGCAUGACAAUAUUUAUUUAAAUUGACAUCAGUAUUAGAAUAUUUAGGGUCAGACCCUACAGUAUUGAGAUUAAGAAAUCAAAUAUUCUAUGAAAUGUAAAUACACUGAACUAAUUUGGAUAUAUUUAAGUGAGACUCUACAAUAUUUGACACAAAUCUAAAUCAAAAAAUUUAAUCAUUUUUACUCCAAACAUUUACUGGACUGAUUUAAAUAUUAAAAUCACUCCUUACCACUACUCUGCUGUAUGUUUAAACCUGAGGCCUUAAAUAGAAACAUACAAGUAUCUGUUUGAAGGAACUUCUGCAGAGUCCUGGUUCCAGAACAUGAUAGACUUGUAGACAAACUUUAACAAAAGCUGCCUGAGAGCUGACAGGUUAUGUUAGAUUUCUUCAUUAAUUUAAUGAGUUAUCAGCAAAAGUCAAGUUUUCAUUUGAUGAAUUUCAUUUCCUAAAACAUCCAGAAUUGGAGCUCAUAUCUUUGGCAGCUGUAAAGUUUCUGCUCCUUCAAAGUUCACAACACAAUGAAUUAAUUCCUAAAACACUCUGAAUGCUGGAGAGCGUUCGUGAUGCUGAAGCAGUGACCACUUUUUCUGUUUCUUCUCUGGAGAUGCACAAUGAGGGACGUCUGCAGCGACUGAGAAAGAGUCUCACCACAUCCUGACAUGAGGAAAAAGACUACUGAAUAAUACAAUGAGAAAAACUAUCCAGACAGCAGACGGCAUGCAUUCAAGGUCAACUCUGAACAUCUGAUCUGGAACAGGAAUUACGGCAGCCUGAGCUUCAUUUCAGUCUGUAACUGCUGAAUUCAUGGAUGAAUCAUCUGCCACUACAGUAAAAACCAAGAGCUCCUUUAUUUGUGACUCCCACUAAAAAAACUGAUUAAAAUAAGUUUGCCAGGGUUCUGACUGAUAACAGGUUAUUAAAUAAUGAAAAUAAUAGUUUAAAUGUUCCUUUAAACAAUCCUUUGAGGUCUACAUUUCCUUGACACUGACUUCUUGGUAUAUGUACAUGUAUUGAGGGUGGAAUAUACCAUUAAGCCCAAUGUUCAAGGGUUCUUCUGGGAAUAUACCACUAAGCCAACCUUUUAGGUAAAUGUUCCAGGAUGUUGGGUAGAAUAUACCAUUAGAUAAACCUUUUAGGUCUACAUUGGAAGAUUUUUGAGUAGAAUAUUACUCCAAAUCAUCCUUUAGGUGGUCUACAUUUAAGGUGGAAUACUCCUUGACACCAAGAUUUUUUGAUCUACAUUGAAGGAUUUUAGGUGGAAUAUUCCUUUGAAUGAACUUUUUAAGUUUAUGUUCAAGGAUGUUGGGUGGAAUAUACCAUUAAACUUAAUUUUUAGGUCUACAUUGGAAGAUUUUCAGUGGAAUUUUCUUCCAAACCGUCUUUUAGUCUACAUGUAAGGAUGUUUAGGAUGGUAUAUUCUUCCAAACCAACUUCUCAGGUCAACAUUUCAGGUGAAAUAUUCCUCCAUACUAACUUUUUUGGUCCACAUUGAAGGAUUUUUUCUAAGCCACCCUUUCGGGUCUAUAUUUGAGGUUUUAAGUGAAUAUUCCUUUUAACCAGCCCCUCAGGUCUCUUUGAGGAUUUUGGAUGGAAUACUCGGUUAAACCAACAUUUUAGGUGCAUGUCCAGGGAUUUUUGGUAGAAUGAUCCUUUAAGGUGGAUGUGUGAGGACCAUGUAGGUGGAAUACUUCCUGAAACCAACCUUUUAGGUCAACAUUCAAAGAUUUAAGGUGGAAUAUUCCUUUAAACCAACUUCAAUUUCUUGUUUUUGAUCAUUAUCAAGUGAGAAACCUCAAUCCAGACUCCUCAUAAUGACAUUUGAGAUUUAUGCUGCUGUUAUUUGUUUAGUCCAGACUAAAUGACAGAAAUCCACAACUGCAAUUUUAUUUCAGGACUCUGUUAUUAAAUUUCAAAACUAUCCAUGUGAUUCUAAAAACUCAACAGCUUUACAAACUCGAAGAUUAAAUUCACCACAAGGAUCCAAAACAAGUUGGACUUCUACAUGAGAGCUUUAAUUAUUCUUCAUCUACUUCCUGAAAAGUUUGGUCAAUAAAAAAGACAAAAACUAAUAUUUUCAGCUGAACUAAAGACAGACUUUGUGAUUUUUCUGCUCACAUGUUGUGUUGUUGUAAACUUACUCUUUAAAUAAAUACCCCCUAACCCCCUGGAAACCAGCGUUUGUCCUGGUUUUGUAUCGCUCCUCGGUGACCCUAGACAGCUGGUUGUAAUGUUUUUUGAGCAACACACCAUACUAUGACAUUUUUACAGUGAAGGUUCUACUAUGAAACCAGUUUGUCAUGUUCAAGCGUUCUUUGUGUGAAAACUUAGAGAUUUCAGGUAUCAGAAGGUGGUUUUCAACUUUCUUUGUUAACUUUCUUCUUCAAAUAUAAACUAAAUAAAUAUAAACUAAAUUUACUUCACUAAGCCAGCCCUCUGGACUUCCAGUAAGCUGUGUUCCUAUUGGCUGUCCAGGUGGCUGCUUAGUGUUAUCAGGAACACCUGAGCAGCUCAGUGUCUUCCUGCUUUAUGACUGCAGUCAAACAUUUCCUCUGCUUCUCUUCACUGAACCAGCUUUGGCUCUGUUGCUUUAGUUUGUUCUUUAGGCGUUGGCUUGCAACUUCCAGCUGUAAAAUCCUCUUUAAUGUGUUUCUUGGUGUGUUUUAGAGCUUUGUACUGGAUAGUUGUCUUGGUAAAUGUGGUUCUUUAGGCACAGUUGGCACAUGGUGCUAAUGUGUGCAGUGAUUAGUGGGUUUGGUGCAGCUGAGUUGUCUUUAUCUUGGCUGCAGUGAGUCUUUAGAGGUUUUUGGUCAGACACAUUCUGUAUUCUUGUUUGUGAACCAAUGUUGGUUGUCCAGAAGGUAAGAGUUCCUGUCCUGAUUCUGUUUAAAGAGGUCCUCUAGUAGGCUGCAGGACACUUUAGCGUUUGGGUUGUGCUAGUUUGGUUUUUGUACGGUUUCAUUUGGACGACUAUCUUGAGGGCCCUCUAUGUGGUUUAGUGAGGUUUUCUGUAACAGUUCUACAAAGCAACCUGCAGCAGAAGAGACUUUGAGAGUUUUUAGGAAGUUCUGGAGACCAGAUUUAGAGCAGCAGAAACAUUUGUUAGCAGUUUGAGAAGGUGAGCUUCAGAGUAGAAAUGAGAAGGAAACCUUCUUGACCUGUGUGGUGAGGUCCUGUACCAAGACUUUGAGCAGGUUGUGAAGAGUCUGUAGUUCUUUGGUCUGAAAGCACCAGAAGAGUUGACACAUUAAAGGAGAAAACAGGAGGAAUUGUUGGUUCUUCUGUCGCUCUGCAGUUUCCUUAGUGUAUAUCAGGUUUCUAUUUUAAAUGAUUUACCAUGUGAGUCCAAGAAGACUUCAAUAAACUCUCUCCAUCCCCCGGACACAACAGAUUUUAUUACUAUGUUAAGACUUUUUUUUUUUUUUUUAAAUGUUUGUUUUAAUCUGUUUUGGCAUAGUUUUUUUUUUCUCUUUGCUUGUGCAGUUUUGUGUGAAAGGUGCUAAACAAAUAAAGUUGAAUU
Molecule: long non-coding RNA, 5362 nt
Organism: Acanthochromis polyacanthus (spiny chromis)
Lineage: Eukaryota; Metazoa; Chordata; Actinopteri; Pomacentridae
Exons: 3
Source: RefSeq, a predicted model, not a curated record